Molecule: long non-coding RNA, 636 nt
Filed under: Mytilus galloprovincialis (Mediterranean mussel)
Lineage: Eukaryota; Metazoa; Mollusca; Bivalvia; Mytilida; Mytilidae
Source: RNAcentral
AUGCAUAUGUUUAAUAGUUGACCCUAACAAAAUGUAAUGAAAUCGUUCUGUUUUAACCUCAGCUAUUACAAAAUGUUAAGUUCUUAUUGCCUUUGUGCACUUAUUUUAUCAUUCAACUCACUAAUAAAAUACACCUUUUAUUGUAUUUUUUGUCUGAAGAAAUUUAAAAAGUUCUCUGUAACAAAAUAUUGUCUAUAUCUGGGAUACCUGGUUUAUUCAUUAGUUGAAAUUGGCUUUGAACAAGCUUUUAAUAACUAUAAGUACCGUACUUAAAUUGGUACUGGUGUCUGGUGUCUUUUCGUUAGUUGUUUUGUGUGCUAUGUGCUGGUCUGAUGGGUUAAACCCUUUCCAAAUGAUUCUUUUUUUUGUUCCUAUGUACCAUAAUGCUUUUAUUCCACUGUCUAAAGGUACGAGAGUUAAGGCCUUGUGACAUGUUUACUGUCUAAAGAUAUGAGAGUUAAGGCCUUGUGACAUGCUAAACCCCACAAAAUUUUUUGAUAUGCCUGUCCAAAAUUAGGAGCCUGAAAUGUUUUGACCAUAAAUCAGGUCAUUCCCUUUCUCUUCAAUUGUUUCUCAUUUUGUUAUGUUGAGGGUUUUUAUAGCUUACUAAAUGGUAUGGGUUUUACUAAUUGGCCG